RNAcentral lists this ribosomal RNA (253 nucleotides) under uncultured bacterium. Its description in RNAcentral is "partial 16S ribosomal RNA". It matches the Rfam family "Bacterial small subunit ribosomal RNA", at positions 524 to 776 of the family's 1533-position model. The record is from RNAcentral.
UACGUAGGGGGCGAGCGUUGUCCGGAGUUACUGGGCGUAAAGCGCACGCAGGCGGUUUCGUACGUCUGGAGUGACAGUUCCCGGCUCAACUGGGAAAGGUCUUCGGAAACGGCGAGACUUGAGGGCUUCAGAGGGACACGGAAUUCCGGGUGGAGUGGUGAAAUGCGUAGAUAUCCGGAGGAACACCAGUGGCGAAAGCGGCCACCUGGACUGCACCUGACGCUGACACGCGAAAGCUAGGGGAGCGAACGGG